GGGGCUGACAGGUUUCGACAGCAGUUUCGUUGUUUGCACGUGCAACCCGAAUUGCUCAGAUUCGUUAAACGGGGCAAAAAACAGAAUUGCCAACGAGCAGUUCGCUCUCGCCGCCUAAUACUCGGUAGAGAGACAUCGUGAGCAGCAAUGCCGCACGGGGCCAGUCCAUCGCAGCCCGGCAACAGAAGCGGAGGAUGACGGCGAGAAAGACCGCUGACAAUGGGAAAGACUUUUGACUUGUGGGAAAGACCACACGCGGCUUGGGUAACCAAGUAGUCGACCCGUCGACAGUGUUGCGUUAGCGCUACAACGGGAAUGGUUGUAGCACUGGUAAAUAGCGCCUGAUGGACGGGGGUUCGAUUCCCCCCAGCUCCACCA
This 378-nucleotide transfer-messenger RNA is filed under the name Ilumatobacteraceae. Its description in RNAcentral is "UBA2093 sp903904615 Standard tmRNA". It matches the Rfam family "transfer-messenger RNA". From Rfam's summary of the family: Bacterial tmRNA, also known as 10Sa RNA or SsrA, is named for its dual tRNA and mRNA-like properties. The record is from RNAcentral. Lineage: Bacteria; Bacillati; Actinomycetota; Acidimicrobiia; Acidimicrobiales. RNAcentral also lists the same sequence under 1 other name.